AUACUUACCUGGCAGGGGAGAUACCAUGAUCAUGAAGGUGGUUUUCCAGGGCGAGGCUCACCCAUUGCACUCUGGAUGUGCUGACUCCUGCGAUUUCCCCAAAUGUUGGAAAUUCGAUUGCAAAAUUUGUGAGGUGGGGGGGGACUGCACUUGUGCUUUCCCCUG
This 165-nucleotide small nuclear RNA is filed under the name Carlito syrichta (Philippine tarsier). RNAcentral's name for it is "U1 spliceosomal RNA (ENSTSYG00000023561.2)". It matches the Rfam family "U1 spliceosomal RNA". From Rfam's summary of the family: U1 is a small nuclear RNA (snRNA) component of the spliceosome (involved in pre-mRNA splicing). Its 5' end forms complementary base pairs with the 5' splice junction, thus defining the 5' donor site of an intron. There are significant differences in sequence and secondary structure between metazoan and yeast U1 snRNAs, the latter being much longer (568 nucleotides as compared to 164 nucleotides in human). Lineage: Eukaryota; Metazoa; Chordata; Mammalia; Primates; Tarsiidae. The record is from Rfam by way of RNAcentral.